GUCCACGCUGUAAACGUUGGGCGCUAGGUGUGGGGGACCUCUCCGGUUCUCUGUGCCGCAGCUAACGCAUUAAGCGCCCCGCCUGGGGAGUACGGCCGCAAGGCUAAAACUCAAAGGAAUUGACGGGGGCCCCGCACAAGCGGCGGAGCAUGCGGAUUAAUUCGAUGCAACGCGAAGAACCUUACCUGGGUUUGACAUCACGUGAAAACUCGCAGAGAUGCGGGGUCCUUCGGGGCGCGUGACAGGUGGUGCAUGGCUGUCGU
This 263-nucleotide ribosomal RNA is filed under the name uncultured bacterium. RNAcentral's name for it is "partial 16S ribosomal RNA". It matches the Rfam family "Bacterial small subunit ribosomal RNA", at positions 793 to 1055 of the family's 1533-position model. The record is from RNAcentral.